RNAcentral lists this ribosomal RNA (486 nucleotides) under uncultured bacterium. RNAcentral's name for it is "partial 16S ribosomal RNA". It matches the Rfam family "Bacterial small subunit ribosomal RNA", at positions 28 to 507 of the family's 1533-position model. The record is from RNAcentral.
GAUGAACGCUGGCGGCGUGCUUAACACAUGCAAGUCGAACGGAAAGGCCCAAGCUUGCUUGGGUACUCGAGUGGCGAACGGGGGAGUAACACGUGGGUGAUCUGCCCUGCACUUCGGGAUAAGUCUGGGAAACUGGGUCUAAUACCGGAUAGGACCACUUCUUGGAUGUUGUGGUGGAAAGUUUUUUCGGUGUGGGGUGAGCUCGCGGGCGAUCAGCUAGUUGGUGGGGUAAUGGCCUAGCAAGGCGUUGACGGGGAGCCGACCUGAGAGGGUGUAGGGCGACACUGGGAGUGAACCGCCGCCCUGAGUCUUAGGGACGGCACCGACAGCUAAUGGAGGCAGCUGGGCGGAAGCUUGCACGAGGGGCGCAGGGCUGGUGAAGAGAGGCUGCGGGGCGGAUAACGGCCUUCGGGGUGAAGACUACAUGUGCUAGGAACGAUGCGUUUUGUGACGGUACCUGAAGAAAAAGCACCGGCUAACUACGUG